ACACGUGGAUUAUCUGCCUUCAGGUCUGGGAUAACCCCGGGAAACCGGGGCUAAUACCGGAUAAUAUGGCAACAUUAAAGGUGGGGACCUUCGGGCCUAUCGCCUGAAGAUGAGUCCGCGUCCCAUUAGCUUGUUGGUGGGGUAAUGGCCUACCAAGGCGACGAUGGGUAGCCGGCCUGAGAGGGUGUACGGCCACAUUGGGACUGAGAUACGGCCCAGACUCCUACGGGAGGCAGCAGUUAAGAAUCUUGCGCAAUGGGCGAAAGCCUGACGCAGCGACGCCGCGUGGACGAUGAAGGCCUUCGGGUUGUAAAGUCCGGUAAGCAGGGAAGAAUAAGUGUAAAGUAAUAUCUUGCACGAUGACGGUACCUGCCUAAAGCCCCGGCUAACUACGUGCCAGCAGCCGCGGUAAUACGUAUGGGGCAAGCGUUGUUCGGAAUUAUUGGGCAUAAAGGGCGUCUAGGCGGGGGACUAAGUUAGGUGUGAAAGCCAUGGGCUCAACCCAUGAAUUGCACCUAAAACUGGUUUUCUUGAGUUCGGGAGAGGAGAGCGGAAUUCCCGGUGUAGCGGUGAAAUGCGUAGAUAUCGGGAAGAACACCAGUGGCGAAGGCGGCUCUCUGGCCUAGAACUGACGCUGAAGCGCGAAAGCGUGGGGAGCGAACGGGAUUAGAUACCCCGGUAGUCCACGCCGUAAACGUUGUGUACUAGGUGUUAGUGGCUUGACCACUAGUGCCGUCGCAAACGCAUUAAGUACACCGCCUGGGGAGUACGUCCGCAAGGAUGAAACUCAAAGAAAUUGACGGGGGCCCGCACAAGCGGUGGAGCAUGUGGUUUAAUUCGAUGAUACGCGAAGAACCUUACCUGGGCUUGAACUGUACUUGAUCGGUGUAGAGAUACACCCUCCUUCGGGCAGGUGCAGAGGUGCUGCAUGGUUGUCGUCAGCUCGUGUCGUGAGAUGUUGGGUUAAGUCCCGCAACGAGCGCAACCGUUACCCAUGGUUGCCAUCAGGUAAUGUUGAGCACUUUAGGGGAACAAUCGGUGAUAAACCGGAGGAAGGUGGGGAUGAUGUCAAAUCAUCA
This 1079-nucleotide ribosomal RNA is filed under the name uncultured organism. RNAcentral describes it as "bacterial SSU rRNA". It matches the Rfam family "Bacterial small subunit ribosomal RNA", at positions 113 to 1195 of the family's 1533-position model. The record is from RNAcentral.